This 800-nucleotide ribosomal RNA is filed under the name uncultured bacterium. Its description in RNAcentral is "bacterial SSU rRNA". It matches the Rfam family "Bacterial small subunit ribosomal RNA", at positions 8 to 822 of the family's 1533-position model. The record is from RNAcentral.
AGAGUUUGAUCCUGGCUCAGAAUCAACGCUGGCGGCGUGCCUCAGACAUGCAAGUCGAACGAUUAAAGCUCUCUUCGGAGAGUGUAUAGAGUGGCGCACGGGUGAGUAACACGUAAGUAAUCUACCUUUGAGUGGGGAAUAACGUCCGGAAACGGACGCUAAUACCGCAUAAUGCAGCGGCAUCGCAAGAUGACAGUUGUUAAAGAUUUAUCGCUUGAAGAGGAGCUUGCGGCAGAUUAGCUAGUUGGUAAGGUAAUGGCUUACCAAGGCUACGAUCUGUAACCGGUCUAAGAGGACGGUCGGUCACACUGACACUGAAUAACGGGUCAGACUCCUACGGGAGGCAGCAGUCGGGAAUUUUGGGCAAUGGGCGAAAGCCUGACCCAGCAACGCCGCGUGAAGGAUGAAGUAUUUCGGUAUGUAAACUUCGAAAGAAUGGGAAGAAUAAAUGACGGUACCAUUUAUAAGGUCCGGCUAACUACGUGCCAGCAGCCGCGGUAAUACGUAGGGACCAAGCGUUGUUCGGAUUUACUGGGCGUAAAGGGCGCGUAGGCGGCCCUACAAGUCACUUGUGAAAUCUCCGGGCUUAACUCGGAAUGGCCAAGUGAAACUGUAAGGCUAGAGUGCAGAAGGGGCAAUCGGAAUUCUUGGUGUAGCGGUGAAAUGCGUAGAUAUCAAGAGGAACACCUGAGGUGAAGACGGGUUGCUGGGCUGACACUGACGCUGAGGCGCGAAAGCCAGGGGAGCAAACGGGAUUAGAUACCCCGGUAGUCCUGGCCCUAAACGAUGAAUACUUGGUG